UGAGGAAUUUUCUGCAAUGGGCGAAAGCCUGACAGAGCAAUAUCGCGUGGGGGAUAUAAAGGCCUAUGGGUUGUAAACCUCUUUCUUCAAGGAAGAAGAUCUGACGGUACUUGAAGAAUAAGCAUCGGCUAACCCUGUGCCAGCAGCCGCGGUAAUACAGGGGAUGCAAGUGUUAUCCAGAUUUAUUUGGCGUAAAGCGUCUGUAGGUUGAUUUAUAAGUCUUUUGUUAAAACUUUAAGCUUAACCUAAAAUCUGCAAAGGAAACUGUUUAUCUUGAGUGUAGUAGAGGUAAAGAGAAUUUUCAGUGGAGUAGUGAAAUGUGUAGAUAUUGGAAAGAAUACCAAUGGCGAAGGCACCUUACUAGGCUAACACUGACACUCAAAGACGAAAGCUAGGGGAGCAAACGGG
Molecule: ribosomal RNA, 408 nt
Filed under: uncultured bacterium
Lineage: Bacteria
Description: bacterial SSU rRNA
Rfam family: Bacterial small subunit ribosomal RNA
Source: RNAcentral